This 71-nucleotide transfer RNA is filed under the name Loxodonta africana (African savanna elephant). It matches the Rfam family "tRNA". Rfam says of the family: Transfer RNA (tRNA) molecules are approximately 80 nucleotides in length. Their secondary structure includes four short double-helical elements and three loops (D, anti-codon, and T loops). The record is from Rfam by way of RNAcentral. Lineage: Eukaryota; Metazoa; Chordata; Mammalia; Proboscidea; Elephantidae.
GCAUUGGUGGUUCAGUGGUAGAAUUCUUUUCUUCUAUGCAGUCAAUCUGGGUUUGAUAUCCAGCCAAUACA